RNAcentral lists this transfer RNA (66 nucleotides) under Vertigo pusilla. RNAcentral's name for it is "tRNA-Lys". The record is from RNAcentral. Lineage: Eukaryota; Metazoa; Mollusca; Gastropoda; Stylommatophora; Vertiginidae.
UUGCGAUUUUUUUAUGGCUGAGUUAUAAGCAUUAAAUUUUUAAUUUAAUUACAAGGUUUAUCCUUU